CCUACGGGUGGCAGCAGUGGGGAAUAUUGGGCAAUGGGCGCAAGCCUGACCCAGCAACGCCGCGUGAAGGAAGAAGGCUUUCGGGUUGUAAACCUCUUUUGUCAGGGACGAAGCAAGUGACGGUACCUGACGAAUAAGCCACUGCUAACUACGUGCCAGCAGCCGCGGUAAUACGUAGGUGGCAAGCGUUAGCCGGAUGUAUUGGGUGUAAAGGGCGUGUAGGCGGGAAUGCAAGGCAGAUGUGAAAACUAUGGGCUAAACCCAUAGCCUGCAUUUGAAACUGUAUUGCGUGAGUGCUGGAGAGGCAAGCGGAAUUCCGGGUGUAGCGGUGAAAUGCGUAGAUAUACGGAGGAACACCAGUGGCGAAGGCGGAUUGCUGGACAGUAACUGACGCUGAGGCGCGAAAGCGUGGGGAGCAAACAGGAUUAGAUACCCGAGUAGUC
This 443-nucleotide ribosomal RNA is filed under the name uncultured bacterium. RNAcentral's name for it is "partial 16S ribosomal RNA". It matches the Rfam family "Bacterial small subunit ribosomal RNA", at positions 338 to 795 of the family's 1533-position model. The record is from RNAcentral.